Oxyura jamaicensis (ruddy duck) is the source of this 1761-nucleotide long non-coding RNA. RefSeq lists it as uncharacterized. NCBI's taxonomy places the organism in Eukaryota, Metazoa, Chordata, Aves, Anseriformes, Anatidae. The record is from RefSeq and is a predicted model, not a curated record. The transcript is spliced from 4 exons.
UGCUUCUUAUUAGAUACACAUCAGAUAUGCAACGACUUUCAAAAUCAUUCACUGGCAUUCUUGAGAUUUCAUAGCAACAAAUUGCACCAGUGGGCGAAGGAAGAAGCAAAGUUGCACAGAAAUGUUUUCGAACAAGCACAGGCAGGAGGGGGCUAUCAAAGACAACAAAGAGAAGAAGAAAAACAGCAGAUCAGCAUUUAACGAGGAAGACAAGGAAGGUGUAAUUAAACAAGGCCUGAUGGAUCAGGUAAUACCAUUAAAAUAGGCUUUCAGAAAGGACGCUGCUACUUCCAGACCCUCUAAAGUUCUUGUGGCUUGCUAAGAUCCAGCUUCACGGGUGAAAAAUGUAUUUCCACAGCAGGGCAUCUAACAAACAUGAGCAUUUCUGAGGUGCUGUGAGGUGAUUUUGCCAAGAUGUUCCUCCCUUGAGCCUGCACCCUGGCUAUUUUGAUCAUACACUGAAGAAACGGAAGAGGAUGUGCAGGAGAUAGCAGUGGUUACUUGACUUGUUGCUAUUCUUUGAAUGCAACUGUAACCGGUCACACAGUCAGAGCAGCACUGAUCUCCAGGCACUGUGACGGUCCCCUGGAGCUGUCCUCCUCCCUCUGCAAGAGAAUCUGUGGCCUGAAACAUGGGACCUUCAUGCAUUCCUUCUCAAAGCUGGAGUUCAGGUGGGAGGAGGGUGAGAGACUUCUCAUCAGUGGACAGAAGGGCAGGUGAGAUUCAAAAAUGAACAACUUUGAAAAAAAAAAAAAAAAAAAAAAAACACCUUUGUACAAUGAUGGCUGCAGCCUGUUUGGGAGGAACAUCAUCUCUGUAGAAAUGCUGGGUGCAUCAUUUCAGAAUAUGCUUGGUUACUUUUAUACAGCUCAUUUGAAGUCAAUGACAUGGGCACAAGUGCAUUUUGAACACAGUUGAGAGAUCAGUCUCUUUGAGAAGAAGGUUAAGAAAACAAACGAAACUUGCCUUGUAGAAACAGCGGGACAGGGUGGGGGAAUCCCAUAUUAGCCAACAUUCAAAUUACUGCAUUGCUUUGUAAUUUCAGAACUCUACUUGUCUAUUGGCUUUUGCAUUAAAAAUAGGAAAGCCACCAGACUUCCUUCCAGCUGACAAAGAAAAGUAACCGGUAAUUGGCAAUUGCCUGUUUUUAUUGGCUGCUGAAAUCAAAUGGGCCAAAUAUUGUCAGUGCAGUCUUGAGCUGACAAAAUAAGUUUAAAGCUGAGAACCUUCCCAGGCUAGAAGAAGGUAUCUAUAUGCUGUUUUAAUAGUGUCUAGCCACAUACAUGUUGGCCAGUCUGGAAAUACAACUAUAGAUUGGAGGGAAAAUAAAUAAAUAAAUAAAAGUAGUCCUAUUGAUUUUUCUAAUUAAAAUGAAGAUCUGUGCUGUAGUGGUUUUUUGUUUGCUUGUUUUUAAUUAUAUUAAAAUAACAGUUAAUACAAGAGAUAAGUUUCUGUGUGUCAACAGGCUAAGAACAAGCUUAUCAUUUCCCAGAAUUUUUAUUUUAAAUUUAAAUGGAAGCCACUUGGGUUUUAAAAUUAUUCUGGUUUGUGUGUGACUUUUAAGUAAAAGACCCUUUUCAGUCUUGCUUUCUUCUAAUAAUGAAAUAUAAUUUGUUCUAAUCUAUUUCUGCUGUAUUAGAACUAUGAAAAAAGUUGAAAUAGUGAAAAGCUGCUUUGCAAGAAAAAAAUGUACAGAAGAUUUGUUUGAAUGUGUGGUUAAAUUAAUUAAGAUAUUACUCAAUAAAAUUUCUGGAUUUUUUU